Non-coding RNA from Schizosaccharomyces pombe (fission yeast), 601 nucleotides. The record is from the annotation of a GenBank genome assembly. Lineage: Eukaryota; Fungi; Ascomycota; Schizosaccharomycetes; Schizosaccharomycetales; Schizosaccharomycetaceae.
CAGUAGUACAGGAAAAUAAGUAGCAACUCGUUAAAGAUAUUCUAAAUUUGGGGUUACAAUGUAACCUAUUAGUAAAAUAGUUUAUAGUUGGGCUAAGGAACGAGGUUUAGUGGUGGCUUCAUUAUAAUCUUUUUAAUGGUUCAUAACAGUGGGAGUCUAUUUAAAUUAAUAAAAGGGUGGUUAUCGGCAAUUAUCAAUACACGGAUUGAACUAAAAUCCUAACAUAUGGCAUACAGUGAGUGUUGCACAACUGUAGUGUCAGCAAUACUACACUACGCUAUGAUACAUUACGUUGCGUAUCACUAUAUGUCAUAUGUUGGAAUACUAGCUAAGAUCCGUUUAUUGAUAAUCACGGGUAACUAUCCGUCUAUAUACAUAGAUACCCGUUGAUAACAACUAUUUAGAAAUAUUAUAAAUAGCGUUACAACUGAACCUCGUUCCUCAGUUCAGUUAUGAGCUAUAUUAGUGAUAGGUAACAUUAUAACCCAGUUAAUACAAUACCUAUACUCAGUUGCUACUUAUACAACCUGUGUAUUGUAAUAUAAUAGACCACAAGGAAAACUCACCGCAGUUCUACGUAUCCUUAAAUCAGAUACCAAAC